GAUGAACGCUAGCGGCAGGCUUAACACAUGCAAGUCGAGGGGCAGCGCGGGAUAGCAAUAUCCUGGUGGCGACCGGCGGAAGGGUGCGUAACGCGUGAGCGACAUGCCCGUUGCCCGGGGACAACCGGUGGAAACGCCGACUAAUCCCCGAUGGGAUAUUGUGCCGCAUGGCACGAUAUUGAAAGUUACGGCGGCGACGGAUUGGCUCGCGUCCGAUUAGCUGGUUGGCGGGGUAACGGCCCACCAAGGCUGCGAUCGGUAGGGGUUCUGAGAGGAAGGCCCCCCACAAUGGGACUGAGACACGGCCCAUACUCCUACGGGAGGCAGCAGUGAGGAAUAUUGGUCAAUGGGCGGAAGCCUGAACCAGCCAUGCCGCGUGCGGGAAGGAGGCCCUAUGGGCUGUGAACCGCUUUUGCCUGGGGGCAAUAAGGGCGUCGCGCACGUCCGAUGAGAGUACCAGGCGAAUAAGCAUCGGCUAACUCCGUG
RNAcentral lists this ribosomal RNA (486 nucleotides) under uncultured bacterium. RNAcentral's name for it is "partial 16S ribosomal RNA". It matches the Rfam family "Bacterial small subunit ribosomal RNA", at positions 28 to 507 of the family's 1533-position model. The record is from RNAcentral.